AAAAAUUGUUCGUAUAGCAGUCAGUUGACACAGUAACUGAUCUCCAAAACCUCGUAGAUUUUUUAAAAUUAUAUUUUUGGGCAUUUCAAGUGUGGCACAAUGAAUGGUGUUGAUUACCAAGUUCAAUGUCCUUCCAUAUGUUUUGUAUUCCAGGGCAUAGCUACAUUAUUAUGUCCUCAAACCAUGUAUAUAAUGUGGAUACACCUUAUACUCACAUAACGAAUUGCACAUCUUUCUUCAGCAGCAUUAGAUAAAUCAGGAAAUGUUAAUUCACAAAAAUGUUCUUUGUAUAUGAGUCUUUUAUGCCUACCCUUCUUCCUUCUCUUAAAAAUCAAUUCCAUCAUAGUUUUUUAUAUAUGAAUCUUCUAGGCGUACCCAUCUUUGUUUGCUUAAACAAGUAAACCAUCACUGAUCAGAAAAAAACAUGUAAACCAUCAUAGCUUACAAUUAGCUAUUAUAUUGAGUUGUUUGCAUGUUUUAAACAGUCGCAAAAUGCAGCCUGUACAUGUUAGAACAAAGUUAGAAGCAUUGGUUAGUUACUAACUUCUAAUCAGUCAUGAUUCGCCAUACCGAUAUCCGGUAUAGAUAGCAUAACGACACUCGAUACACCGAAAGGACUCCAUAUCAUACCGACACAGUGCUAGUGUGGCACUGGUAUGGGGUUCAGUAUCGAAAUGGCAAACUUUGUAAUCAAUUCCUAGUUAGUUACAUCACUACUACAGGAUCUUAACUUCAUUAUAAUAUCUAUUAUAUGGGAUAGAGUAAGAUGGUUCUUAUUCCUUUUGCAUGUAUCAGCAACUUCUCAUAAUAUCUGUUCUGUCAAUCAGAGCAUUUUUUAUAGGCAGAUGACUUGAAAUUUGUCUAUCCAAUGAACUGGAAAGGUUUUGUGUACAGGAUUUGAAAGGAUGUGACUCUUCAACUUGAGUUACUGAGUUACUAUGUUAUAAUUUUUUAGAGUGCAUAAGCACCAUAUCUGGCGUACAAAUUUUGCUUUGGUUUAUAUUAAGCAUUGGGUUUGAGCUACCAAAAUUUGAGGAAAAAUGGUCAAAUAUUUAACAGUAAUUGAUUCAAAUGUCAAUUUGCUUGUUAUGCACAUAUAAAUUAUAUAACAACCUAUUUUUGAUCUUUUUGUGACAUACUCACAUGUUUACUCCAUGUUCGCAUGCAAUUCAUGUACCAAACAGGUUCUGGAAAAAUUACUGAGUUUAAUUCUAAAGCUAUUUUAUUACCUCUCCCCUUUGCAGGUAAAAUCACUUAAAUCCUCUUUGUGUCUGAUCAAGUUCAGAGCAUUGAAUUUGAAUCAAAUCAGGAGACUGGCUUGGUUGGAUGAGUAUUUCAGUCUGGUCUAGAUCAGAUUGAAAGUUUUAUCUGAUCCUUUUUGGGGCCUGACGGAGCUCAUCUUCAUUUUAUUUACUGAAUACCAGUGCUUGGAUUCCACGGUGGUUUUCUCUUGAGCUACGGAAUCCAUUUAUAUGGGUUUUGCCAUUGUCACAGAUAUUCUCCCUCAGAAGAUUUGGAUAUUAGCCUCUUCAACAUGUUAGACAGACGGCGUCAAGAAUUUUUGCUUGUAAUACUCAGGAACCCUGUCAUUCUUCUAGUACAUUCAAGAAAUAUUAUCGACAUCCUCAAAAUGUUGAAUUCCCACCCAUACUGCCAAAGAAUAAAAAAAAGUCUUUCUCUAUCCCAAUAAAAAAGAUCAUACAGGCUUCUGGACAGGAUAAAAAACUGGCUGAAAUGGGUAUAGAGAAGCCUCUUGAGCCCCCCAAAGAAUGUGUUACUGGUACCUGAUCUUGUUCCUGUUGCUUAUGAGGUACUGGAACAUUGGAAAGGGCUGAUCCAAGGCCUUUCACAGCUUCUGAAUGUUGUUACAGUUUAUGGUUGUAGCAAAUGUUCUGCAGUCCACGUUGGUCCCAUUGGCCACCGGAUUCAGGACUGCAGAGGCACUGGAAGUGAGCAGUGCAGGAACCUCCACUGUUGGUUUUGAGGUUCCAUCAAUGAUGCUCUUAUCCCCAUUGAAUCAUACCACCUGUAUGUCCCCUUUGGGCGGCACAUCAAGCACAAGACUCAUUUCCCAGCAGUUGUAGAGCUACGCAUUCAAGCAGGAGUUGAUUUGCCAGAAUUUCCUUCACGCCGACGAACCAUGCCCAUCUGAAUGCUUGGGAAAAAGAAAUCAUUUCCUGUGGAGCUGGACAUGGGGCUUAUGACUUGCUUGUAGGUUUUCCAGUGUACAUUCUGCAUCUGUCUUGGAAAGAAAUGGUUAUCCAAAGUGUUAUGCAAUACACAUCCCUGUAAAGAAUUAUAGCUACUCUCUUCAUGCAUGGUGUCAAACAACAAGAUGGGUCCUCUAUGUUCAUAUACUUCCUAAUUAUCUAU
Non-coding RNA from Phoenix dactylifera (date palm), 2373 nucleotides. NCBI's taxonomy places the organism in Eukaryota, Viridiplantae, Streptophyta, Magnoliopsida, Arecales, Arecaceae. The record is from RefSeq and is a predicted model, not a curated record.